Aethina tumida (small hive beetle) is the source of this 369-nucleotide long non-coding RNA. RefSeq lists it as uncharacterized. The transcript is spliced from 2 exons. NCBI's taxonomy places the organism in Eukaryota, Metazoa, Arthropoda, Insecta, Coleoptera, Nitidulidae. The record is from RefSeq and is a predicted model, not a curated record.
CUUGUCUGUGUGUGCUGGCAGUGAUUAGAUUUAGAGUAAAAUUGUUCCUAAUAAUAAAAGAUCAAUUACACAAUGUCAGAUUGUGGGGAUGCUGUAGAAACGUUUCAAACAUUAGACGAUUAUUCUUGCACAAUUAACGCAAACGAUAACGAUAAUAAUCAUUAUCACGAUCACACUUCUGUGGAUUUCCCCCAACAUGACCCAGACGUAUCGACAGAUCAUUACCACCAGUUUCAGGAGUACCACAACACCGGUUCGUCAUCCGUCUCCCCCGGUUGGAAAUUCGAGUGUUGCUGUUGGUUGUUCUGUUUUGUUUCGAUUUUGAUUUUGAGUUUUGCCAUUUACGGAAUAAAAUCUCUGUUCCGGUGA